This 253-nucleotide ribosomal RNA is filed under the name uncultured bacterium. Its description in RNAcentral is "partial 16S ribosomal RNA". It matches the Rfam family "Bacterial small subunit ribosomal RNA", at positions 524 to 776 of the family's 1533-position model. The record is from RNAcentral.
UACGGGGGGGGCAAGCGUUGUUCGGAAUUACUGGGCGUAAAGGGCUCGUAGGCGGCCAACUAAGUCCGACGUGAAAUCCCAAGGCUUAACCUUGGAACUGCGUCGGAUACUGGAUGGCUUGAAUUCGGGAGAGGGAUGCAGAAUUCCAGGUGUAGCGGUGAAAUGCGUAGAUAUCUGGAGGAAUACCGGUGGCGAAGGCGGCAUCCUGGACCGACAUUGACGCUGAUGCGCGAAAGCCAGGGGAGCGAACGGG